Molecule: transfer RNA, 83 nt
Filed under: Angiostrongylus costaricensis
Lineage: Eukaryota; Metazoa; Nematoda; Chromadorea; Rhabditida; Metastrongylidae
Rfam family: tRNA
About the family: Transfer RNA (tRNA) molecules are approximately 80 nucleotides in length. Their secondary structure includes four short double-helical elements and three loops (D, anti-codon, and T loops).
Source: Rfam by way of RNAcentral
CCGUCGAUAGCUCAGUUGGUAGAGCUGAUGAGUGUAGAGAUGCAGCAAUCCUCAGGUCACUGGUUCGAAUCCGGCUCGACGGA